RNAcentral lists this ribosomal RNA (356 nucleotides) under uncultured bacterium. RNAcentral's name for it is "bacterial SSU rRNA". It matches the Rfam family "Bacterial small subunit ribosomal RNA", at positions 28 to 394 of the family's 1533-position model. The record is from RNAcentral.
GAUGAACGCUAGCGGCAUGCCUAAUACAUGCAAGUCGAACGAGAUACAACUUUGUAUCUAGUGGCGAACGGGUGAGUAACACGUAUUUGAUCUACCCCCAAGUGGGGAAUAACAAUUGGAAACGAUUGAUAAUACCGCAUAUGACAUAAAUUCGUUUUUAUGUUGAAAGGAGCGUCAGCUUCGCUUGUGGAUGAGAAUGCGCGUAUAGUAGUUGUGGGUAAAUGCCUACCAAGACAUGAUACGUAGCCGAACUGAGAGGUUGAUCGGCCACAUCGGGACUGAGACACGGCCCGGGACUUCUACGGAAGGCAGGCAGUAAGGAAUUUUUCACAAUGGGCGAAAGCCUGAUGAAGCAA